GGGCCCGCACAAGCGGUGGAGCAUGUGGUUUAAUUCGAUGCAACGCGAAGAACCUUACCAAGCCUUGACAUCCUCGGAACUUUCCAGAAAUGGAUUGGUGCCUUCGGGAACCGAGUGACAGGUGCUGCAUGGCUGUCGUCAGCUCGUGUCGUGAGGUGUCAGGUUAAGUCCUAUAACGAGCGCAACCCCUACCGUUAGUUGCCAGCAUUAAGUUGGGCACUCUAGCGAGACUGCCGGUGAUAAGCCGGAGGAAGGCGGGGAUGACGUCAAGUCCUCAUGGCCCUUAUGGGCUGGGCUACACACGUGCUACAAUGGCAGUGACAGAGGGACGCUACCAGGUGACUGGAUGCAAA
RNAcentral lists this ribosomal RNA (353 nucleotides) under uncultured bacterium. RNAcentral describes it as "bacterial SSU rRNA". It matches the Rfam family "Bacterial small subunit ribosomal RNA", at positions 917 to 1271 of the family's 1533-position model. The record is from RNAcentral.